AGGGUUAUAGUUAAACUUAUAACAUUUGAUUUGCAUUCAAAAAUUAUUUUUAUUAAAAUUUACCUUG
This 67-nucleotide transfer RNA is filed under the name Syrphus vitripennis. RNAcentral's name for it is "tRNA-Ala". It matches the Rfam family "tRNA". Rfam says of the family: Transfer RNA (tRNA) molecules are approximately 80 nucleotides in length. Their secondary structure includes four short double-helical elements and three loops (D, anti-codon, and T loops). Further hydrogen bonds mediate the characteristic L-shaped molecular structure. tRNAs have two regions of fundamental functional importance: the anti-codon, which is responsible for specific mRNA codon recognition, and the 3' end, to which the tRNAs corresponding amino acid is attached (by aminoacyl-tRNA synthetases). tRNAs cope with the degeneracy of the genetic code in two manners: having more than one tRNA (with a specific anti-codon) for a particular amino acid; and 'wobble' base-pairing, i.e. permitting non-standard base-pairing at the 3rd anti-codon position. The record is from RNAcentral. RNAcentral also lists the same sequence under 1 other name. Lineage: Eukaryota; Metazoa; Arthropoda; Insecta; Diptera; Syrphidae.